UUGCUAAUAGAAUUUGUUUAACCAGUCCAAUAUUUUAUGACACCUUUGCCUCUGGCACAGAUUUAUUAUCACACCUAUAGGAGUGAGUAAUUUGGUUAGAUUUACAAUCACCAGAAUACCAGUAAGAGCUCAUCACUGCAACUAUACAUAACCUAAUCUAUAAAAUGAUGCAUUUGAACAACCCUGUAUAGGCUGAUCCAGGUAUUACAAUCAAUUAUGGUGGCGUUGGAAUGAGACAAGUGCGUGAAAUGCUAAAGAAACAGAGAAACAAAAACCGAAGAGAACCCUGUAUACGUCAAUAUUGUUCCACCAAUAUUUUAGCAUUGUUCACGCAUUUGGAUUUGAUUGGACAUAAGAGGAACCCUUUUCACGAGUCUAACUUUCAGACCAUGUUUCAUUUGAAUGAUAAUAGAAGCACUUGGAGAAAUUAUUUGAUCUUCCCCUAAUUGGAUAUGAUAAUUGUAUAUGAUGGUAGCUGCCACUAUUUUCAUCUGAAUGAACGCCAUUUCCUUCCCUAUACAAGUCCUUGGACCUGCAUUAAAGGCUGAGAAUUUGAAAGACGGCUCGUGUUUGAUCCCUCCUCGUUUAGAAAUCCAUCUCUCUGGCUUGAAUUCUAAGCAAUCUUCCCCCCAUAUACUUUCCAUUCUCCCCAUUGUAUAGAGAGAUAGCACAAUUCUCAUGUUUGGACUAACAUGGUGACCGCUCGGAAGAAUGUCAAAGUCAUGUGGAAGUUUGUGCUCAAUUGCAACUGAUGGAAAGAACCUCAGGGUUUCACACAAAGCACCAUGUAGAUAGACUAGUUUUCUUGUUUCUUGUAUGCUGAAAAAGUUGAGAUUUUCAUCUUCUUUUAGAUUCAAUUGUUGUUGAAUCUCUUCUCUAAUCCUUUUCUCUGCUAAGGGAUUUUUAGCUAAGAGCCAAAAAAACCAAGUGAGAGCUGCACUUGUGGUGUCUCUACCAGCAAGCAUCAAACUCAAGAAAGUGUCUCUUAGAAAUGUUUGCAAAGUACCCAAAUCACCAUCUUUCCAUUGAUUAUACAUUUUGAUGUACUCGUUUAAAAAUGUGAAUUCCUCGUCUUUGAUUGUACUUUGAUGCAGCAAUUCUUCUUGCUUACGCGAAAUGCAAGGAUAUAAGAACUGAUCAAAAGCUUCCCAUGCUUGAAUGAGCUUCUUUUCUCUACCAAUUCGAAGCCAUUUUUGCAAUUUCCAGCAACUUUCUGGCAAGAGAUGUCUGUAAAGAAGUGCAUCCACAGUGUCGUUGAACGCCUUUUCACAUGGCACAUGAGGUAAGCCAAUAGACAAACUUUUCGGAUCAUGAUCAAGUAACAAUUUGCUGAUAGCAUCAAAAGUGAAUCUCUGGAAAAUAUCUUGCAUAUCAAACAGAAUGUCCUGUUCAGCAAAAGCAUCAAGAAUUGGUCGGAGCCUGUUUUCAAUAAUGUUCCACAUGUUCCUCUCCAACAAAGUUUGGAACUUGGCAUGAUUCAUUAAGGACAUGGUGGUCUUCCUAUGCAUCUCCCAUAGCUCAUAAUCAACAUUGAACAUCCCAUUUCCUAAUAUAUCAAAAAUUUUACGGAACUCAACACCCUUUGGAUAGUUUGAGAAAUUUUUACUAAGGAUAUAGUGGAUAUUUGCAGGAUCACUAGUAAUUAACAUGUUCAAGUUUGCAAGAACAGGGCCAUGAAACUUAAAAGUUCCCUUAGUUUCUACAAGAAUAUCAGUUGCAAAUUCAUGGACACGAUGAGCAUUUUGAAUAAGCCCAGGCAACAUUCCAACUAGUGGCCAAUUUGUUGGCACUGAGCUUGAUUUCCACCAUCUAUUACUAAGGUACCACCAUGUAGAAUAAGUAAAACACAUGAUGAUAAUCAAGAGAGGAAGAAAAUAUUCAAGAACAUCCAUUUCUUUCUCAAACAAAGAAAAGAAUUUGAGAUGGAGAGAGGAAACUUAUUUAAGUUCAGGAUUAGUUCUAUCAACUUCACAUUUUGUAAUGAGAAUUGAGUAAAAAAAGACCAGCAAAACGAAAGGCAUGGCCUCAUAUUUUAUUUUAUUUUUUUGAUGACCGUGGUAUCCGGAUCAGCUUUCGUGCACCUCGCUAAUUCCACAAAGAUACCUGCCACCUCCCACUGGCAACCAAGGCUAGGACAGAUAGGAAGAAUCACCUAGUCAUAUAUCAUAUAUCAUAUAUAUAUAUAUAUAUAUAUAAGAGAACCUUAGGCCCGCCUACGUGGCGCCACCACAAACCAGAAUUCUCUUUUAAUUUAUUUAUUUUCAAACCUAGCCUUCCCGAAAAGUUGCGACUUUUGUGAAGAGUUGCGACUUUGAUGAAAAGUUGAGACUUUUAUGAAGAGUUGCGACUUUAAUGAAGAGUUGCUACUUUUAUGAAAAGUUGUGACUUUUAUGAAAGGUUGUGACCUUUUCGAAUGGUUGCAACUUUUUCGAAUGGUUGAAACAUUUCCGAUAAGGCACAAUAAAUAUUUGUUCACACUACUCUUUGUUGUCUAUAAAUAGAGGGAUUUCCUCUCAUUUUAAAAGAACGAAAAUUAUGAACCUCUUCCUCUUCUUCUUCUUCACAAUUAAAUAUUUGUGUAUUUUGCUCCUGUUGAGUGGCUCACUGACACCAUUGCUUAUGUUACACAUCCUGGUAUAUAUUUUUACAGUCAUUAAUUUAUACUUAUAUUAUUAAGGAUAAAUGAUAAGAUGUUACAAUUUUCAUUUUCCUUUACAUUAUUAAUGUUUUGUUAUUACGUAAUCUUGUAUGUAAGACAAUAAAAUAUUUUAGUUUUAAUGACUGAUAAGCUUUAAGUAUUAUUUUAUAAAUUUCAUAAUAUUAAAUUUUCGUGCGAAGUGCGGGUUAUUUUCGUAGUGAGAUUUAAACCUGACACCUACUAGCUCUAAACACUCAUAAUUGAGUCAAGCAUUUUGAAGAUCACUAUCUUGGACCCUUAUAUGAGUUGCUAACCACAAGUGUCAAUCCUAAGAUAGAUAAGCAUGUGAGAAUCAGACAGGGAGAUGUAUUUACCAGACAAAAUGACAAUUUAGAUAUGGUGUCAUUUAUGUCGUAUUAUUAUAAGUUAUCUCAACGACAGUCUGGUGGAAAGGAUUGAAUCCCUCCAACAUUAAUUACAGACGUCUAGUCAAGCCAUCAAAAUGAGAAAACUUCUAGAUAUAUUUGUAAUUUUAUAUCAUAAAUAUUUUUUAUUUAUGGAUAUUUUUCAAUGUUUCUUCAUAGAUAUUUCCAUCAUCUCAAAGUCCAUAUUUUAUAGUUAUGUUGUUCAUGGAUUGGAAGUUAAUUGAAACCACAAGACAAAUUCCUCUUGCUAAAAUGGAAUAGCAAAAGCUUCAACUGUCUGUUGUUAUCAGUGUGUGACAUAUUUUUAAUGUACACACGUAUAGCUAAGUGUGUUGAAUUGAUUAAAAUUUGUUUAUGGACGAGUAUGGAAAUGGCGGAGUGAUAACUUGAGGCUUCGUUUACUGCUUCCCGGAGCUUGAAGAUGCACACAUAAGAAGAAGCUAGACGUGGGCUUUAGUUGUUAUAAGUACUUGAACAAUGUGGUGCAUGUAGCACAACUAAAAACACAAGCCAUUAAGAUGUUGAAUAAAUAACUAAUCAACAUUCAGGCUCCAAUAAGAGGAUACUUCAGGAUUUCGAAAAAAGCAUGAAACUAUUUUCAACCUAUAGGAGUGAGUAAUUUGGUCAGAUUUACAAUCACCAGAAUACCAGUAAGAGCUCAUCACUGCGACUAUACAUAAUUGAUCCAGGUAUUACAAUCAAUUAGGGUGGCGUUGGAAUGAGACAAAAUGCUAAAGAAACAUAGGAACAAAAACCAAAGAGCACCUUGAAAGAUUGGAAGAGAAAGUAAAUCCAACCAUUCCCAAAAAAUUUCAAAUUGUGAACACCUUACAGGAAC
RNAcentral lists this long non-coding RNA (3901 nucleotides) under Solanum tuberosum (potato). RNAcentral describes it as "long non-coding RNA (STUB_LNC010301)". Lineage: Eukaryota; Viridiplantae; Streptophyta; Magnoliopsida; Solanales; Solanaceae. The record is from RNAcentral.